Molecule: long non-coding RNA, 262 nt
Organism: Chinchilla lanigera (long-tailed chinchilla)
Lineage: Eukaryota; Metazoa; Chordata; Mammalia; Rodentia; Chinchillidae
Exons: 3
Source: RefSeq, a predicted model, not a curated record
UGAAACAAGCAGUGGGGACUCCGUGCCUUUGAAGCUGUCUACCGUCCGCUCACCACCAUUGAGAAGCUGUCUCCCCCUGCGGGCACCGUGGUGCACAGGAAUAUUACCCGAUUGACAUGAAAAUAACAAAGGCGAAACACCCUGCCUUCUCAAAAUAGUCUCAACAACCCUGUGAGAGACGUGCCCAAGUACACGGACUCUGUCUGCUGUAUACAAACAACCACAGAGUCCUUCCCUGAGAUACUAUUCCCUAUCGAAGAAC